CUGAAGCCCACCUGUGAGCUGGUCCAGGAAAUGAUGGACUCUGAUUUCCACACCCCUUUCCUGUGAACUUGUCUCCAAUUUAGUCUGUCAAGGUCCCUUUCUUGUGAGUUAAUUUCUCCCUAGUGCUACUUCUCAGAUUGGCCAGUGACUCACAGAGUGGCACAAGUACAAAUCCAGCCUGCCUUGCAUCCAACACAGAUUCCAGGACCACUGAAACCAGCUGAGGCAUCCUGAAAGCCUAAGAUUGACCACACCAGAGGAACCAGACUGCCCUUCACAAGGAAACCUGGCGUGGAAACACAUUGCUUCCCUAACACUUUCCUGAAGGAGCUUGGACGACUUGACUCAGGCAGGUUGAGAGACCAGAAAGCCAUCCAGAGAGAGCAGGGACCCAGCCAUCCACCACCUGGUUCUACUCCCACCCUAAGUCUUUCCUCUGAUGGAUUACUGAGUGCUUAUUUGAUCCAUGAUUGUCAAUCAUCCAUCCUUGCAACAUUUAACAAAAUACAGACCCACUCUGUUCUCAGAAAGCACCACACAGAGAUUCUGAAGCACUAAUCAGGAUGUAGAAAAACACUCCAGUCACCCUGCAUUGGAAACGGAGAAGUGCUUUCAGAGCCAUACUUCCUGCUGCGAGGUCAUUAGCAGUGCGUCCAUCCACAGCAAAGUGUUUUGCCACAGGAUGGAAAUUAUCUGGUUCCACCCCUGGAUAUGAUCAACCUUCAUAGACUGUGCA
RNAcentral lists this long non-coding RNA (736 nucleotides) under Homo sapiens (human). RNAcentral's name for it is "non-protein coding LINC00305:1". Lineage: Eukaryota; Metazoa; Chordata; Mammalia; Primates; Hominidae. The record is from RNAcentral.